UCUUACGAAGAGUAAAUAAGUUCUGCUACUGAUUUUUAAGUGAUGAUAAAGUGUGUCUGAGGAGA
This 65-nucleotide small nucleolar RNA is filed under the name Sciurus vulgaris (Eurasian red squirrel). The record is from RNAcentral. Lineage: Eukaryota; Metazoa; Chordata; Mammalia; Rodentia; Sciuridae.